UUUUAGUUAUUAAUUUUUUUAGUGUAUGUGUUCAGUCUGCUUUUUCUAAAGUUUUAUUCUUGCUUAUUUAUUCACUUUUUCUUUGUAUUAUAUGCAAGUUUUUUUAAACUAAAUGUUCUUUUUGCAGUGAUUUAAUUUAAUUAUCAAGAAAUUUUGGAAUUAGCAAUUGAUUAAGUAUUGGCUUAUUUCGUGCCAGCAGCCGCGGUUAUACGAUUAAUACAAGUGAAUAUUUUUGGUUAAAACAGUUAUUUAUAGUUUUGGAGUUUAAUUAUAAAUUUAUGAGGUGAAAUUUUAAUUUUUUUUAUGAUUCCUAUUAUGAACCUGUGAAACUUAAGUAAUAAACUAGGAUUAGAUACCCUAUUAUUUUAAGUGUUAAUUUUACUUACCUGGGUACUAUUAGUUAGGAUCUUUAAACCCAAAGAAUUUGGCGGUACCUUAUUCCAUUCAGAGGAACCUACCCCGUAAUUGAUAAUACACGAUUUACUUUACUUAAUUUAUUUGUUUGUAUAUCUCCGUUAUCAGAAAAUCUUGUUGGAGUUAUAAUUUUCUUGAUUUAUGAUUGUAAAAUAUUUCAGGUCAAGGUGCAGCUUAUGAUUAAGAGGAGGUGGGUUACAAUAAAUUUUUGUUUAUUAUGGAUUUAAUAGUUAAACACUAUUAAUGAAGGUGGAUUUGAUAGUAAUUUGAUUAAGUUAUUUUAAUUGAUAUUGGCUCUAAGGUGUGUACACAUCGCCCGUCGCUCUCAUUAUUGUUAAAUCUACUUAUAUUUAAAGGUAGUUUCAAUUUAGAUGAGAUAAGUCGUAACAUAGUAGAUGUACUGGAAAGUGUAUCUAGGAAGUUUCAG
Molecule: non-coding RNA, 841 nt
Filed under: Dociostaurus kraussi kraussi
Lineage: Eukaryota; Metazoa; Arthropoda; Insecta; Orthoptera; Acrididae
Description: 12S ribosomal RNA
Rfam family: Microsporidia small subunit ribosomal RNA (bases 389-830)
Source: RNAcentral